Molecule: ribosomal RNA, 372 nt
Filed under: uncultured bacterium
Lineage: Bacteria
Description: bacterial SSU rRNA
Rfam family: Bacterial small subunit ribosomal RNA
Source: RNAcentral
GAACCGUGCGAACGUUAUUCGGAAUUACUGGGCUUAAAGCGCGUGUAGGCGGGCCGGCACGUCGGUCGCUGAAAGCCCCCGGCUCAACCGGGGAAGCGGCGCCGAUACGACCGGCCUGGAGGGGGGUAGGGGGACCUGGAACUUCCGGUGGAGCGGUGAAAUGCGUUGAGAUCGGAAGGAACGCCCGUGGCGAAAGCGAGGUCCUGGACCCUUUCUGACGCUGAGACGCGAAAGCCAGGGGAGCGAACGGAAUUAGAUACCCCGGUAGUCCUGGCCGUAAACCAUGGGCACUGGGUAGGGGGCUCGCCGAUGGGCUCCCUGCCGUAGCGAAAGCGUGAAGUGCCCCGCCUGGGGAGUAUGGUCGCAAGGCUG